UUAUCACGUGAUUUGCAAAAUAAUUAAAUUAAAAAAAAAAAUGUAUAUGCAUAAAAAUUAAUUACGCUUAAAUUAUUUAAACUUUAAAUCGACCAAAUAAUGACAAUUACGGAUAUUCUGUUCCGUAAUAAAGCGAUUUCGUGUCUUAACCAAUCAAAUGACGACAGACGAAUUUUUUCUUAGACGGAGCGCGUGCGGCGGACAUUUUGUUAAAGUUCAAGAAUCGGAAGAAACUCUGGAAGAACGAAGUAUUAUCGAAACAGGUCACUGACUUUAAUCAAUAUGAAAGAAUCUAAACUGGAAGUGGGAUAAAACAAAACUGCGCAUGAUCGGUGGAUGUUGGUGAAAAGUAUUGUCGCAUCUCGUUCCUCCUUCAGUCUUCCACUAGAAGAUCAUGAAGAGAAUGACUUGUUUAAUCAUCACAUGCUGCUCAUAUUUUCAGUAUCGGAGCAAAACUAUACGAGAUGACUUUGCUAAUUAAGCUGUUCAUCCGAAAGUGUAUUUUAAAUGAAGGUGAUAUAUAUAAGAGAGUAAGUAUAAUUAUUUAAUAUUUUUUCUUUUAGUUUAAAAUAAAAGUACGAAUAUGAAAAAUAUAUAGGCCCUAUAUAUAUAAACAUUUUAACCUAAUUACAUAGAACUUUGACCCUCUGCAUUUUGAAUUUAGAGGUCCAAAAUAUUUAGGUAAACGAAAAUAGAUCGCUAGUGCUCCCUUUCCCUUUUAGUCUGCAAGUGUUUAGCGCUUGUGUGUUUACGAGAAUUCCAAAUUUUAGAAAUAUCGAAAUGACAAAUGAUUAUAUAAAUGACAUUUAAUAUUUUUAAG
Molecule: long non-coding RNA, 820 nt
Organism: Centruroides sculpturatus (bark scorpion)
Lineage: Eukaryota; Metazoa; Arthropoda; Arachnida; Scorpiones; Buthidae
Exons: 3
Source: RefSeq, a predicted model, not a curated record